AAAAUUAUUUUUCUGGCUGAUGGAAGCUACUGGUCUUCAGAUGUCAAGCCUGUAAGUAGUGCCUGUUUGGUUAUAAAUUUAAGUGAAAGAUGCUGUAAGAAGACAUCAGAACAAUCUCAGGUAAGCUCUGCAAACCCAUGUGGAGUAUCGGGUCUGAGGGGUGAAACCAUGGACAAAAACAGAUUAACAAUUUAAUAUGGUGACCAAACACUGAUUUCUGCUUUGGCCCCUGUAACAACUGUGUUGUAAGAAAGGUCAGACAAGACCCUUGGAUGAAAUGUGUGGAUCCUCUUAGCCUGGGGGAACAAGUAUCAUUAGUUAACCUGGCACCAAACCAAGAAGCAAAGGCACUGCCAGGCUGGGGAGGGACAAGAGCACAGUGCUGGGCUGUGGCUUUCUCUUUUUUUCUUGAGAAAAAUAAAGAAUUGUAAUCAUCUUUUCUGCCUUAGCUCAAGGUGCACACUGCAGACCAGGAGGGAGAUCAUGUAGCAUAACAAUGUGUGAUGACAGCAGCUAAAAGCUUCUUUUGACAUGUUUCCAGCUCAUAAACUGGGCUAUAUAAUUCAGGGGAAAGACCUAUUAGUCUUCUAAUUUCUUGAGUCUUUGAAGGAAUACACCAGGUUGCUGGAUACUGAGGGAGAAGCUUUGUACCCCAGUUUUAAGGAUAUCAGCACUGGGAAUAUGAAAUACUGUAUCUGUUUCAACAUUAGCUGAGAUUUUACAUAAUAGGAUUUCUUUUUCAUUUGAAAGCAUAGACUUACAGAAACAGACAGAUGCUAGAAAAGAUAAGAAGGUGCAUUAUUAAGACAGUUAAAAAUGACAGACAUCUUUUUUCAGCUACUCCAGUGUAGCCACUCAAUAGCAAGGUUUCCUAAUUAGCCUCCACCUCUUACCCCAGGGAGGGGAAGCUCUAAGAGCUGCUGCUUUCCUGCUCUUCCUCUUCAUUGUGACAAACAAAAGCAGCCAAAGCAGCUGCUCUGAGCCACUGGCUCCUUCAAAGCUGCCAUCACUGGGGAAGAACCAGCUUCAGAGCCUGUGACAGUGUUUUCUGAUGAGCUAUUGGCACAUUAGAGACCGACACGUUCACGUGGGGAGGAGCACACCUGUUCAGUCAGCCCGUGUGCAUGAUAACGUAUGAUAAUUGUGCAUCAGUGCUUCUGGGGGCUCUGUCAUUGCACCCAGACUGCUGAGAGAUCCUCCCAUCUGUAAUGUCAAUGCAAGGUCCUACACACAGGAUAAUAUUGGAGCUUGUUUGUUACUCUUUUCACAUACUAGUUUUGGUAAACACAUGAACGUUAAUUCUCUGCCCAUGAGAUAAACCUGCAUGGUGGCAGUAAUGGAUGCAGCUUGCAAACAGGAAAGGACAUUUCACUGGGUGGAUGAUUUCCAAGAAGCAAGAAAACUUCUCAGCAUGGCUUUUAGUUCUCUUCACCAUGUGAGUUCAUGCCAGUCU
Molecule: long non-coding RNA, 1453 nt
Organism: Oenanthe melanoleuca
Lineage: Eukaryota; Metazoa; Chordata; Aves; Passeriformes; Muscicapidae
Exons: 4
Source: RefSeq, a predicted model, not a curated record